CAAGGUUUCCGUAGGUGAACC
RNAcentral lists this ribosomal RNA (21 nucleotides) under Spiraea media. RNAcentral describes it as "partial 18S ribosomal RNA". The record is from RNAcentral. Lineage: Eukaryota; Viridiplantae; Streptophyta; Magnoliopsida; Rosales; Rosaceae.